Molecule: ribosomal RNA, 246 nt
Filed under: uncultured bacterium
Lineage: Bacteria
Description: partial 16S ribosomal RNA
Rfam family: Bacterial small subunit ribosomal RNA
Source: RNAcentral
UAUGGGGCAAGCGUUAUCCGGAUUUACUGGGUGUAAAGGGAGCGUAGGCGGCAGGGCAAGCCUGAUGUGAAAGCCCGGGGCUCAACCCCGGGACUGCAUUGGGAACUGCCCUGCUGGAGUGCCGGAGGGGCAGGCGGAAUUCCUAGUGUAGCGGUGAAAUGCGUAGAUAUUAGGAGGAACACCAGUGGCGAAGGCGGCCUGCUGGACGGUUUACUGACGCUGAGGCUCGAAAGCGUGGGGAGCAAA